Molecule: ribosomal RNA, 569 nt
Filed under: Meyerozyma caribbica
Lineage: Eukaryota; Fungi; Ascomycota; Pichiomycetes; Serinales; Debaryomycetaceae
Description: eukaryotic LSU rRNA
Rfam family: Eukaryotic large subunit ribosomal RNA
Source: RNAcentral
AAACCAACAGGGAUUGCCUUAGUAGCGGCGAGUGAGCGGCAAAAGCUCAAAUUUGAAAUCUGGCACCUUCGGUGUCCGAGUUGUAAUUUGAAGAUUGUAACCUUGGGGUUGGCUCUUGUCUAUGUUUCUUGGAACAGGACGUCACAGAGGGUGAGAAUCCCGUGCGAUGAGAUGCCCAAUCCUAUGUAAGGUGCUUUCGAAGAGUCGAGUUGUUUGGGAAUGCAGCUCUAAGUGGGUGGUAAAUUCCAUCUAAAGCUAAAUAUUGGCGAGAGACCGAUAGCGAACAAGUACAGUGAUGGAAAGAUGAAAAGAACUUUGAAAAGAGAGUGAAAAAGUACGUGAAAUUGUUGAAAGGGAAGGGUUUGAGAUCAGACUCGAUAUUUUGUGAGCCUUGCCUUCGUGGCGGGGUGACCCGCAGCUUAUCGGGCCAGCAUCGGUUUGGGCGGUAGGAUAAUGGCGUAGGAAUGUGACUUUGCUUCGGUGAAGUGUUAUAGCCUGCGUUGAUGCUGCCUGCCUAGACCGAGGACUGCGAUUUUAUCAAGGAUGCUGGCAUAAUGAUCCCAAACCGC